RNAcentral lists this ribosomal RNA (441 nucleotides) under Escherichia coli. Its description in RNAcentral is "partial 23S ribosomal RNA". It matches the Rfam family "Bacterial large subunit ribosomal RNA", at positions 2200 to 2640 of the family's 2925-position model. Lineage: Bacteria; Pseudomonadati; Pseudomonadota; Gammaproteobacteria; Enterobacterales; Enterobacteriaceae. The record is from RNAcentral.
CCACCCUUUAAUGUUUGAUGUUCUAACGUUGACCCGUGAUCCGGGUUGCGGACAGUGUCUGGUGGGUAGUUUGACUGGGGCGGUCUCCUCCUAAAGAGUAACGGAGGAGCACGAAGGUUGGCUAAUCCUGGUCGGACAUCAGGAGGUUAGUGCAAUGGCAUAAGCCAGCUUGACUGCGAGCGUGACGGCGCGAGCAGGUGCGAAAGCAGGUCAUAGUGAUCCGGUGGUUCUGAAUGGAAGGGCCAUCGCUCAACGGAUAAAAGGUACUCCGGGGAUAACAGGCUGAUACCGCCCAAGAGUUCAUAUCGACGGCGGUGUUUGGCACCUCGAUGUCGGCUCAUCACAUCCUGGGGCUGAAGUAGGUCCCAAGGGUAUGGCUGUUCGCCAUUUAAAGUGGUACGCGAGCUGGGUUUAGAACGUCGUGAGACAGUUCGGUCCCUA